CACGUAGUUAGCCGGUGCUUCUUAUCCAGGUACCGUCACAUAACGCUUCGUCCCUGGCGAAAGGAGUUUACAACCCGAAGGCCGUCAUCCCCCACGCGGCGUCGCUGCAUCAGGCUUGCGCCCAUUGUGCAAUAUUCCCCACUGCUGCCUCCCGUAGGAGUCUGGGCCGUAUCUCAGUCCCAAUGUGGCCGUACACCCUCUCAGGCCGGCUACCCGUCGACGCCUUGGUAGGCCAUUACCCCACCAACAAGCUGAUAGGCCGCGAGCUCAUCCCACACCGAAAAAACUUUCCACCACCGCCACAACACGAUGGUCCUAUCCGGUAUUAGACCCAGUUUCCCAGGCUUAUCCCGAAGUGCAGGGCAGAUCACCCACGUGUUACUCACCCGUUCGCCACUCGAGCACCAGUGCAAGCACUGGCCUUUCCGUUCGACUUGCAUGUGUUAAGCACGCCGCCAGCGUUCAUCCUGAGCCAGGAUCAAACUCU
Molecule: ribosomal RNA, 487 nt
Filed under: uncultured Corynebacterium sp.
Lineage: Bacteria; Bacillati; Actinomycetota; Actinomycetes; Mycobacteriales; Corynebacteriaceae
Description: partial 16S ribosomal RNA
Source: RNAcentral